UCCACUGGUCAGUGGAUGAGUAAGGUGUU
This 29-nucleotide non-coding RNA is filed under the name Rattus norvegicus (Norway rat). Lineage: Eukaryota; Metazoa; Chordata; Mammalia; Rodentia; Muridae. The record is from RNAcentral.